GAGAGCUGAACAUAGCAGAGACUGGAAUUUUGUUACCGUGUUACAUAUAUGGGCAAGCAAAGAUAAAACCUUUGGGCUCUUGACCGGUGAUAUAUCAGUAAGCUACUAAGCUUUUGUAAUGGAAGAUCAUUUUGUAUGAAAAGAAGCAAAACCAGUUCGUGGGCUUUAACUGAAGAAGAAAGUAUACAGAGUCAUGCUACUAAAGACUAGUCUCUAAAUGUCAAAAUGUGCAAAAAGUAGACAAAUUUCCCUCAAUCUUAGAGAUCCCAAGGGACAAAGGGGCCAAGUCGGAGAGGAAGAUAAAUAGUGGCUAUGACUGUUGAAAGUCCAUGUAUAACAAAAUAAUAUCUGACUCAAAUUUGCAAACUCUCUUCCCUUAUUGUGAAGCAAGUGGGAGUUGGUGACCGCCCCUCCACUGUUGUCCAAUUCUUCGCAUUAAUACUAUCCUCUCUUGCAUGUUACUUGGCUACGUUUUCCUAAUAUGUUGUGCAGGGAAAUCCUUGCUUAGAUUAUAUACAUCAUGUACCUUUCACACAUUUAAUAAGUGAAAUAUAUAUAUUUAUCUUGAAUGCAUAAUGAUAAAAUCUAGAUAAAUUUUCCUAAUGGAUACAGUUAUCGUUGAUGGUGGUAUCGUGG
RNAcentral lists this unclassified non-coding RNA (636 nucleotides) under Hevea brasiliensis (rubber tree). Lineage: Eukaryota; Viridiplantae; Streptophyta; Magnoliopsida; Malpighiales; Euphorbiaceae. The record is from RNAcentral.